GCGGGUGUGGUGGAGUAGUACCACGUAGGGCUCAUAUCCCUGAGGCGCCGUGCAAAUCGGACACCCGCCACCA
RNAcentral lists this transfer RNA (73 nucleotides) under Micromonosporaceae bacterium. RNAcentral describes it as "tRNA-Met". It matches the Rfam family "tRNA". From Rfam's summary of the family: Transfer RNA (tRNA) molecules are approximately 80 nucleotides in length. The record is from RNAcentral. Lineage: Bacteria; Bacillati; Actinomycetota; Actinomycetes; Micromonosporales; Micromonosporaceae.